Haliotis rubra (blacklip abalone) is the source of this 304-nucleotide long non-coding RNA. RefSeq lists it as uncharacterized. The record is from RefSeq and is a predicted model, not a curated record. The transcript has 4 exons. NCBI's taxonomy places the organism in Eukaryota, Metazoa, Mollusca, Gastropoda, Lepetellida, Haliotidae.
AUGAAUGACUAGCUUAGAUAAAGGCCUAUCUUGCACUUGCUUGUGCACACGGAUCAUUAUUUACUGACGAUUUCUAUGCUUCGUGUAAGGAUAAUACGAUUAAGGUAACAUCGUGGAAAAGGGACUAAACAUUGGAAACUGUUCCUCACCCUGCAGAUAAAGAUGACGUUUGUUGAAAUUUUACAUGGGACAAGAACUUAAGGUGACGUCUUUGACAAUGUCAGCCUGUCAGAUUACAUUUGAUAGUGCAGAUCGUGGGGGUGGAAAAUCAGGCGUUUGCGUCAUGAAACUAUUUCAAAAUGAG